AAUGGGCGCAAGCCUGAUGCAGCCAUGCCGCGUGUGUGAAGAAGGCCUUCGGGUUGUAAAGCACUUUCAGUAAGGAGGAAAGGUUAGUAGUUAAUACCUGCUAGCUGUGACGUUACUUACAGAAGAAGCACCGGCUAACUCCGUGCCAGCAGCCGCGGUAAUACGGAGGGUGCGAGCGUUAAUCGGAAUUACUGGGCGUAAAGCGUACGCAGGCGGUUUGUUAAGCGAGAUGUGAAAGCCCCGGGCUCAACCUGGGAACUGCAUUUCGAACUGGCAAACUAGAGUAUGAUAGAGGGUGGUAGAAUUUCAGGUGUAGCGGUGAAAUGCGUAGAGAUCUGAAGGAAUACCGAUGGCGAAGGCAGCCACCUGGGUCAAUACUGACGCUCAUGUACGAAAGCGUGGGGAGCAAACGGGAUU
This 417-nucleotide ribosomal RNA is filed under the name uncultured Gammaproteobacteria bacterium. RNAcentral describes it as "bacterial SSU rRNA". It matches the Rfam family "Bacterial small subunit ribosomal RNA", at positions 370 to 779 of the family's 1533-position model. The record is from RNAcentral. Lineage: Bacteria; Pseudomonadati; Pseudomonadota; Gammaproteobacteria.